GAUCCUGGCUCAGAUUGAACGCUGGCGGCAGGCCUAACACAUGCAAGUCGAGCGGGUAGCACAGAGAGCUUGCUCUCGGGUGACGAGCGGCGGACGGGUGAGUAAUGUCUGGGGAAACUGCCUGAUGGAGGGGGGAUAACUACUGGAAACGGUAGCUAAUACCGCAUAACGUCGCAAGACCAAAGUGGGGGGACCUUCGGGCCUCAUGCCCAUCAGAUGUGCCCAGAUGGGAUUAG
Molecule: ribosomal RNA, 236 nt
Filed under: uncultured bacterium
Lineage: Bacteria
Description: partial 16S ribosomal RNA
Rfam family: Bacterial small subunit ribosomal RNA
Source: RNAcentral